This 174-nucleotide unclassified non-coding RNA is filed under the name fungal sp. Its description in RNAcentral is "partial internal transcribed spacer region". The stretch from base 1 to 46 matches the Rfam family "Eukaryotic small subunit ribosomal RNA", at positions 1786 to 1831 of the family's 1831-position model. Lineage: Eukaryota; Fungi. RNAcentral also lists the same sequence under 1 other name. The record is from RNAcentral.
AAGUCGUAACAAGGUUUCCGUAGGUGAACCUGCGGAAGGAUCAUUAACAAAUUCUACAUUUACCACCUGUGAACCGCCCCUCGGGGAGUUGAGCGUGCUCGACACAUUAACUAUUUGAAUGUCUAUUUUAAGAUUCAAACGAAACAACUUUUAACAAUGGAUCUCUUGGCUCUU